UUAUCCAGCACCCUCUUUUCUCUCUUUCGUCUCUCUGAAUGGCUUUUUUGUCUGUUUAUCGCCUUCCCCUCGACGAUGGUAACACCUACGGAUCAAACAUAUAAUUAUUUUUAGGGAAAGGUGAUGUAGUGCUUCAAAGAUGUCCGAGUCUCGAAAUAAUUGUAGCAACAAACCUUUCUCAGAAAAUAAUCAAGAGAAGCAUAUAUGAUUGUAUCAGAACCGUAUUUUUCAAUUUCUCAUAUGAUAUCUAGGGUUUUUGAUUCGUUGUUAUUUCGAUUUGUGGAUUUCCUCCGGAUCUGAUAGAAUUCGUGUAUUUGGUUUAGGCAAAAUUAGUGUAUUUUCGAAAUUGGGGUUCUGUGGGAUUAGCAAACUUUUGGAUCCUGUAGAGGAAGACCUAAUCGGUAGAUGUGAUCUGGCAAUCGGAACUGUGAAAAUACAUGUAACGAGUUGUGUAGCUGACUCCGCACAACUAUAAAUUUUCUGACCACCUAAUUGUAAAAUGGAUGGGGUAGCCUAAGUUUUCCAAGUUUAUCUUGGUUCAGUAACAAUAUUUUGAAACAAUAUGGCAACCAACGUAACCAGCAAUAGCAUAACAAAAGUUGACAUGGUUAUUAGCUUAAACACUCAGCUUACUCGAAGGCUCCAUCGACACCAUGAAUAUUCCUCUUUAGGGUCCAAUCAGUUAACUCACCGGUGCACACAUGAACAACACUAACAUGCUGAAAAUGAUAAUCAAUAGCCGCCGUCACCAUCACUACCGCCAGACCCGUUUUAGUGAAAUACUCGAUGGAGCAGUUUCAAAGCUCUAUCUUCUUACGAGCAACAACAGGUUGCUGCUCUUACCCUUCUAUGUCUGAGAAAGCUAAGGAUGGUGAAUAUUUACUCCUCUGUAAAGCCAAUAUGCACUUCAAAAUCGAGGAGGAGACAUACCUUAGACUGGAGAAUUUCAAUCUCAUUCAUUCUAAUUGGGAAACUGAAUUUAUCUAGCCAGGUAUUUUCUUCUCUUUCAUCUUCAGAUUUCAGUGGAUUUAGAGUUAAAUUAGUUUUUACCAAAGUCGGUUUUUAAUCAACACAAAUGACACUCCAGAGAGAUUUUGGGUGUGUACAGUUUAAUGGUUUUCCAUACCUGUAUAUGUUUAGUGUUGUUCAGGAUCAAAAAGUACUUUAAAUAGUGUAAUAAGUCGUGAAAUGAUGUCUCUUCAAAUUGGAUCUUUUAGCUUCCCUCGCUUUGGGUUUAAUGUCUUUCUACUAUUCAAGUGGUCUUUAUUGAUGAAGUUAGUUUCGUCUCUGUGAAACAUUGCACAGUUUUCGGUAAUGAGCAAAUUCUCUGUUCAUUCAUGUAAAUCAUGUCAUAGAUUUAUCUGGCGUGGAUUUUUUUUUUAUCUGCCUUCAAAAAAUGGUGUUGUUUUAGCCCCUUCAUGCGAGCUCUACUAUUUGUAUGCAAAUCCAUUACUCUUUUUCAAAAUUUAUGCUUUUCGAUUUGCUCACAUACUCAAACUUAAUUUACACUUUAAAUACCAUUAGGUACUAGAAAAUUUGUCGUAAGGGAGAAGAUGGUGGUGAUUACAUAGCCCUGUAUCUGUACUGACAUAGAUGUAGCUGCGUUCUUGCCUUACGUGAAGGAAAUUGACCUUAAUUAAUCAAAAACUAUCAAUAGAUGAAAAAUAGUAGAAAAAUCACUGUCACUGUUAUAUCUGAAUCGAGGUACUGAUCUAGGUUUUGGGUGAAUCAUUAUGUCAUUUCUCUUUCUUUGAACCUGAUAUUGUAGGCAUUGGCAGUAAUUCUAUCUGCAAGCUACUGAUCUAGCCUAUAUACGUGUUAUUAUUUUGUAAUUUUUCGAUUCUAAUUGAUUUACAUGUUGAUUUAGCAGUACACGAGUUUUAUUUGCAGUUAUUGGCUGUAACAAACAUUAUUUAUUGCUGAGGUGAAGUAAGUCAUAGAUUAGGGACUUAACUAGGUUAUUAAUGUCAUACUACAAAGAGUUUAGUAGUGUUUAUGCAUUUGCAUUGGGUUGGUAGCUCAAAAACAGAAAUCUGCUCCGAGGGAUUCUUACAACGCAGGUCCGGCAAUCCCAGGUUAUGUAAGUCAUGUAGGUGGAGAGAAAUUGCACGUUCUAAUGUUCGUGAACAAGAUAAAUGUUUGGAGUGAAGGAAAAACGUAUUUAGAACUAUGUGCUGAUUCAGAGACUCCGUCUCAGUAUCCAAGUAAGGAUGACGCCAAAGUGGAUGAAAGAGAGAUUACAACACUUGAGAAACAAAAUGCGGGUGAUUCUGCAAAGCAAACAAAGGGAAUGUCUUAGGAAGAAAGGCGAGAAAUACAAUGCAGGUAUAUAAUCAAUGGAUGACAUGUGAUCAAAUGGCCAUUGGUUUAUCACCAACCUCAAAUUUUCAGCACUUCUCUCAACUCAUUCCGUGGUUCAAAAGGAUAUUGUGACAUUUUUAAUGAUGUAUCACCAACCUUUUCAUAGCGGCGUAUGUUCUGAUGUACGUAUUAUUUUGUUUCACCAUAUAAUGUUCAUUUCUUUCUUUGAAAGUUAUUUUGUCUGCGAGCUUCACGGGUCCCGAUCUUUAAACCAAACAAAAGACUUAUGAAUGCUCUCAGACUUGAGUGCAAACUGGAAAGACACGAACUUUCCUGAUAUUCAGCAUGGAAACAAAGACGCAAACAAGUAUUUGUCGGGACCAAAGAACUUUAUCUUGGCACAUCCGGCAAUGUAGAAACGAAAAUGGCUUUAAGAACAUUGCAGAUAGUAGCUUCCCAAUGUGAAGAAACUAUUUUUCUAUUUCCCCCGUAUCUAUCUGUAGGAUGAUUACAAAGAGUAUGUGAAGUUCAGAAGGUGGACAUCAUGGAUCACCCACCACCUUUUAUAGCUGGAUUUAGUGAGGGGUGUGGGUGAACGAAAUAUGGGUCUGUAGGUGAUGCAAUCAAGAAAAUAUGAGUUGGGGGUUUUCUGGAUUUAGCCAACAACAACUUAAAGCUCUAUUUGUGCAGGACUGCAGAUCAUACAAAACUGACUGGGGAGUUUCAUAGGAAACGGUACUUCAUUGACGUUUUUGAGGUAUCAGUAGGAAGUUACCCAACUGUAGAUAUAGUUGGUCUUUGUUAUUGUACAGUUGUGCUUAGUCUUGCAUUAUAUAUAUACUACCAUCCACAAUUUGGUUUGAGACGAACUGUUUGAAUAAAUGCAUUGAACAUUACUGUCUUAUUAUCCCAAAGUUGGUCUUUGGGUAUCAGUAGGAAGUUACCCAACUGUAGAUAUAGUUGGUCUUUGUUAUUGUACAGUUGUGCUUAGUCUUGCAUUAUAUAUAUACUACCAUCCACAAUUUGGUUUGAGACAAACUGUUUGAAUAAAUGCCUUGAACAUUACUGUCUUAUUAUCCCAAAGUUGGUCUUUGGGUAUCAGUAGGAAGUUACCCAACUGUAGAUAUAGUUGGUCUUUGUUAUUGUACAGUUGUGCUUAGUCUUGCAUUAUAUAUAUACUACCAUCCACAAUUUGGUUUGAGACAAA
Papaver somniferum (opium poppy) is the source of this 3508-nucleotide long non-coding RNA. RefSeq lists it as uncharacterized. The record is from RefSeq and is a predicted model, not a curated record. NCBI's taxonomy places the organism in Eukaryota, Viridiplantae, Streptophyta, Magnoliopsida, Ranunculales, Papaveraceae. The transcript has 13 exons.